RNAcentral lists this ribosomal RNA (116 nucleotides) under Prolemur simus (greater bamboo lemur). The record is from RNAcentral. Lineage: Eukaryota; Metazoa; Chordata; Mammalia; Primates; Lemuridae.
GUCUACGGCCAUACCACCCUGAACAUGCCCGAUCUCGUCUGAUCUUGGGAAGCUAAGCAGGGUCGUGUCUGGUUAGUACUUGGAUGGGAGAAACCAUGGUCUGGACACUGUUCACA